UGAGGAAUAUUGGGCAAUGCCCGAAAGGGUGACCCAGCAACGCCGCGUGGAGGAUGAAGGUCGUAAGAUUGUAAACUCCUGUUAGAGGGGAAGAAUACCUAAGUUUGGAGCUUAGUAUGACUGUACCCUCAGAGAAAGCCCCGGCUAACUACGUGCCCGCAGCCGCGGUAAUACGUAGGGGGCAAGCGUUGUCCGGCUUUACUGGGUGUAAAGGGCGCGCAGGCGGAAUGGAAAGUCAGUGGUGAAAUCCUACAGCUUAACUGUAGAACUGCCUUUGNAACUUGCAUUCGUGAGUUAGGGAGAGCGAGACGGAAUUCCAGGUGUAGUGGUGAAAUACGUAGAUAUCUGGAAGAACACCAGUGGCGAAGGCGGUCUCUUGGUCCGAUACUGACGCUGAGGCGCGAAAGCGUGGGGAGCAAACA
Molecule: ribosomal RNA, 422 nt
Filed under: uncultured bacterium
Lineage: Bacteria
Description: bacterial SSU rRNA
Rfam family: Bacterial small subunit ribosomal RNA
Source: RNAcentral